This 450-nucleotide ribosomal RNA is filed under the name uncultured bacterium. Its description in RNAcentral is "partial 16S ribosomal RNA". It matches the Rfam family "Bacterial small subunit ribosomal RNA", at positions 354 to 796 of the family's 1533-position model. The record is from RNAcentral.
GUGGGGAAUCUUGCGCAAUGGGCGAAAGCCUGAUCCAGCCAUGCCGCGUGUGUGAAGAAGGUCUUCGGAUUGUAAAGCACUUUAAGUUGGGAGGAAGGGCAUUAACCUAAUACGUUAGUGUUUUGACGUUACCGACAGAAUAAGCACCGGCUAACUUCGUGCCAGCAGCCGCGGUAAUACGAAGGGUGCAAGCGUUAAUCGGAAUUACUGGGCGUAAAGCGCGCGUAGGUGGUUCGUUAAGUUGGAUGUGAAAGCCCCGGGCUCAACCUGGGAACUGCAUCCAAAACUGGCGAGCUAGAGUACGGUAGAGGGUGGUGGAAUUUCCUGUGUAGCGGUGAAAUGCGUAGAUAUAGGAAGGAACACCAGUGGCGAAGGCGACCACCUGGACUGAUACUGACACUGAGGUGCGAAAGCGUGGGGAGCAAACAGGAUUAGAAACCCAGGUAGUCC